Molecule: long non-coding RNA, 580 nt
Organism: Thunnus maccoyii (southern bluefin tuna)
Lineage: Eukaryota; Metazoa; Chordata; Actinopteri; Scombriformes; Scombridae
Exons: 4
Source: RefSeq, a predicted model, not a curated record
AGCGACCUCAUACCAUUGAGAAACAUUGAAUGAUCAGGAAUCUGGGGGAAAAGAAACUGAAGGGAAGCCUCACACCAAUUAGACCAGAAAAAGUUCAUGCUAAUGAUAACAGCAACUGUAUUUUUUGUGCUCAGCUUGCAGCAAUGGAAGGUGAAAAAGCCGCUGCUUAAAAUGACUGAUGGAAACUAUUAGAAAUUAUAUGAUGUUGUUACUGAACACCAUGAAGGACAGAACCCUUCAAAUACCAGCUAAUAAGAAGUCUUGCAAUACACCAUCUAUAAGUAGAAGAUAAGAGAUGUGUGAACCUUUGAAUUGGUGUUCAGACACCCUGUAGAGGAGACAUGACCAUAGAGAUCCUCAAUCAGUGCAAGCUGGAAGCCUACUACAGCAUCUGCCAAGCAUAACAAAUAAUAAUACACAUAAAAUAAAAAAUCACAGUAAAAUAUAUCCCAUCCCAGCAGUUUGUUCAAAUAUUUAUUAUGCCAAUGAAUUUAUAUAAAUAGAUAAUGUGCUUCAAUGUAAAUCUAUGCAAUGUGUGGUUUUCUCAUAUGGGAGACAAUAAAAUAACCUUGACCCUUGA